This 460-nucleotide ribosomal RNA is filed under the name uncultured bacterium. Its description in RNAcentral is "partial 16S ribosomal RNA". It matches the Rfam family "Bacterial small subunit ribosomal RNA", at positions 338 to 795 of the family's 1533-position model. The record is from RNAcentral.
CCUACGGGUGACAGCAGUGAGGAAUAUUGGUCAAUGGACGAAAGUCUGAACCAGCCAAGCCGCGUGAAGGAUGACUGCCCUAUGGGUUGUAAACUUCUUUUAUAUGGGAGUAAACUGUACUACGUGUGUUAAUUUGUAUGUACCAUACGACUAAGGAUCGGCUAACUCCGUGCCAGCAGCCGCGGUAAUACGGAGGAUCCGAGCGUUAUCCGGAUUUAUUGGGUUUAAAGGGAGCGUAGGGGGAUUGUUAAGUCAGUUGUGAAAGCUCGCGGCUUAACCGGAGAAUUGCAUUUGAACCUGGGGGUCUUGAGUACAGGAGAGGUGGGCGGAAUGCGUGGUGUAGCGGUGAAAUGCUUAGAUAUCAUGAAGAACACCGAUUGCGAAGGCAGCUCACUGGACUGCAACUGACGGUGAGGCGCGAAAGCGUGGGGAGCAAACAGGAUUAGAUACCCUGGUAGUC